Molecule: small nucleolar RNA, 137 nt
Filed under: Ornithorhynchus anatinus (platypus)
Lineage: Eukaryota; Metazoa; Chordata; Mammalia; Monotremata; Ornithorhynchidae
Source: RNAcentral
CCCCUCUCAGAGUCUCACCUGGAGAGUUUCCAGUACUCUACCAGUCUUGACUAUGGGAAGGAGAGUCAAGCAGAGGCCACCCAUUCCAUUCCUAGCUUGGUCAGUGGCUAGAAAGUGGAAGACAAUCUGCUACAAGU